Molecule: ribosomal RNA, 408 nt
Filed under: Fusobacteriota bacterium
Lineage: Bacteria; Fusobacteriati; Fusobacteriota
Description: Fusobacteria bacterium partial 16S ribosomal RNA
Rfam family: Bacterial small subunit ribosomal RNA
Source: RNAcentral
UGGGGAAUAUUGCACAAUGGACGGAAGUCUGAUGCAGCAACGCCGCGUGCGGGAUGACGGCCUUCGGGUUGUAAACCGCUUUUUCUCAUGACGAAGUUUUUUGACGGUAGUGGGGGAAGAAGCACCGGCUAACUACGUGCCAGCAGCCGCGGUGAUACGUAGGGUGCGAGCGUUGUCCGGAAUUAUUGGGCGUAAAGAGCUUGUAGGCGGUUUGUCGCGUCGAUAGUGCAAACUCAGUGCUUAACGCUGAGCCUGCUGUUGAUACGGGCAGACUAGAGGAAGGUAGGGGAGAAUGGAAUUCCCGGUGGAGCGGUGGAAUGCGCAGAUAUCUGGAGGAACACCGGUGGCGAAGGCGGUUCUCUGGGCCUUUCCUGACGCUGAGAAGCGAAAGCGUGGGGAGCGAACAGG